This 300-nucleotide ribosomal RNA is filed under the name uncultured Ignisphaera sp. Its description in RNAcentral is "bacterial SSU rRNA". It matches the Rfam family "Bacterial small subunit ribosomal RNA", at positions 496 to 795 of the family's 1533-position model. Lineage: Archaea; Thermoproteati; Thermoproteota; Thermoprotei; Desulfurococcales; Desulfurococcaceae. The record is from RNAcentral.
UCUGACCCUGUGCCCGCGGCCUGGGUAAGACGGGGGGGGCUAGCGUGGUUCUGAAUUACUGGGCUUAAAGCGCACGUAAGCUGCUUUGUAAGUUAGAGGUGAAAGCCCGGGGCUCAACUCCGGAAUUGCCUUUAAGACUGCAUCGCUAGAAUUGUGGAGAGGUAAGUGGAAUUCCGAGUGUAGAGGUGAAAUUCGUAGAUAUUCGGAAGAACACCAGUGGCGAAGGCGACUUACUGGACACAUAUUGACGCUGAGGUGCGAAAGCGUGGGGAGCAAACAGGAUUAGAUACCCUUGUAGUC